CCUACGGGUGGCAGCAGUGAGGAAUAUUGGUCAAUGGACGCAAGCCUGAACCAGCCAAGCCGCGUGCAGGAAGACGGCUCUAUGUGUUGUAAACUGCUUUUGUAAGAGGGUAAAGGCAGGUACGUGUACCUGUUUGAAAGUACCGUACGAAUAAGGAUCGGCUAACUCCGUGCCAGCAGCCGCGGUAAUACGGAGGAUUCAAGCGUUAUCCGGAUUUAUUGGGUUUAAAGGGUGCGUAGGCGGUCGGAUAAGUUAGAGGUGAAAUGCCGAGGCUCAACCUCGGAAUUGCCUCUGAUACUGGUCGGCUAGAGUGUAGUUGCGGUAGGCGGAAUGUGUGGUGUAGCGGUGAAAUGCUUAGAGAUCAUGCAGAACACCGAUUGCGAAGGCAGCUUACC
This 395-nucleotide ribosomal RNA is filed under the name uncultured bacterium. RNAcentral describes it as "partial 16S ribosomal RNA". It matches the Rfam family "Bacterial small subunit ribosomal RNA", at positions 338 to 730 of the family's 1533-position model. The record is from RNAcentral.